UUUAACAAAUUUUGACUAUUAGAUUUAAGCGAAAUGGUAAAAAAGGAAUUUAACAGGAACUCGCAUUUGAAGGUGCAGUUUUUGCAGUUUCUCCUGUUUUUUUGUCUAAUGUCUUAAAUGUCUGAUUGACUGGAAAAUAAAGCCAACAAAGGACACCAAGUUAAUAUCAGCCUCAAGUUUUAUUUCACCACACUUCUGUCCGUGAUCCCUUAUAAGUAUACUUUUAACUAGAUAUCCAAAGACACUCGAAAAUGGCCGAGGCUGCUACAUCCAAAGCAAUAUCAAAAAUCACGGAACAAGCAAUAUUCUUAUAUGGAGUGGACGAACAAGAGCACUAGUAACGGAGAUGGGACGGAUACGAUCUUUCUUGAAGGAUGUUGAUUCAAGAAAACAAACAGAACAGAGAGUCAAAAACUGGGCUGAAGAAAUCAGGGACCUUGCAGAAGAUGCUGACGGCAUAGUUGAGAAAUUUGCUGCUGAGGUAAAACAGAGACAAGGGGAAGAUACUGCUUAUUGUUUUUGUACAAUGUUAGCAAGCGUAGUGAAAGAAGUUAUAGUCAGGUACAAAAUUGGCUGGAAUAUAGGAAAAAUCAACAAGAGGAUCAAAAACCUCACAAAUAGUUUGACAACCUAUGGUAUAAGUCAUGGUAUAAAUGGAGGAGAAAUAUCUUUUAGAGAAGUGAUAUUACAAAGUGGAGCUAUUGGUGUUGAGAGAUGGGGAGGUUCCGGGGGGAGGUUCCGGGGGAGGACAUUGGAGUUAUAGGCCUAAAGGAUUAGUAAAACAGAUAGUUGUCAAGCAUGGAUCGAUUAUAGAUUCUAUAAUGUUUAAGAGCAUUCAAGAAAAUGGUGUCAUGUAUUUGGUGGUUCUGGAGGUCAUUGCAUGACUGAGAUCAACAUAGACUGUCCUUCGGAGCAUUUGACAGGCACAAGUGGGACAUUUGGACUCUUUGGUCCCUACCUUAUCGUAAAAUCCAUCAAGUUUCACACUAACCUUAGCCUAACUGAUACCAACUUCUCAUUUAUCAUGCAAGGUGGGGUGGUUGUUGGAUUCCACGGAUCUUCAGGGUUAUUUCUUGAUGCCAUUGGUUUGUAUGUAGUGCCGGCACGCAUCAGUUUACUUUCUCAGUGAGCGCACUGUCUCAUCAAUAUCUAUCUGAGCUUAGUAUGUCCAUGAAGUUAUAAGUCAUCAUUCAUCAAUAUGUAUCGGAGAGCUAGCAUGUCCGUAAAGUUAUAGGUCAUCAAUAUUUAGCUGAGCUAGCCUAUGAUGUGCAUAUGUAUAUGAAUAUGACCUAGCAUGUCCACAAAAUUAUUUGUCAUAUCGAUCGGUAAGAAGGAAACUGACUUGGUCGUCAAACGAUCAAUUAAUAAUCACCGAAACAGCGUUUAAUGUUGCUUUAUUAUCAGUAUAUGUCCGAGCUAGCUUCUUUGUAAGGUUACAACUAGAGGUGGCAAAAUGGGUAAAAAAUAUGGUUAUCCGCCCGACCCAACCCAUUUAAAAUGGGUUGGAUACCAAUCCAUUUAAAAUGGGUUAAAUAUGAGUCAACCCAUAUUAUCCACUUAAAAUAUGGGUAAAUUAAUGGGUAAAAUGGAUAAACGUCCCACAACAUAUAGAGUGUGUUUGGUAUGGACGAAAUGUUUUCCAAUUUUCUCAUUUUUGAUUGGUCAAAAUGUU
This is an RNA transcript of Lycium barbarum (goji berry), 1672 nucleotides long. It is a transcript of the gene named agglutinin-like, with no coding region annotated. Lineage: Eukaryota; Viridiplantae; Streptophyta; Magnoliopsida; Solanales; Solanaceae. The transcript has 2 exons. The record is from RefSeq and is a predicted model, not a curated record.